Molecule: ribosomal RNA, 545 nt
Filed under: Anaplasma phagocytophilum
Lineage: Bacteria; Pseudomonadati; Pseudomonadota; Alphaproteobacteria; Rickettsiales; Anaplasmataceae
Description: bacterial SSU rRNA
Rfam family: Bacterial small subunit ribosomal RNA
Source: RNAcentral
GCAAGCUUAACACAUGCAAGUCGAACGGAUUAUCUUUUAUAGCUUGCUAUGGAGGAUAAUUAGUGGCAGACGGGUGAGUAAUGCAUAGGAAUCUACCUAGUAGUAUGGGAUAGCCACUAGAAAUGGUGGGUAAUACUGUAUAAUCCCUGCGGGGGAAAGAUUUAUCGCUAUUAGAUGAGCCUAUGUUAGAUUAGCUAGUUGGUAGGGUAAAGGCCUACCAAGGCGAUGAUCUAUAGCUGGUCUGAGAGGAUGAUCAGCCACUCUGGAACUGAGAUACGGUCCAGACUCCUACGGGAGGCAGCAGUGGGGAAUAUUGGACAAUGGGCGCAAGCCUGAUCCAGCUAUGCCGCGUGAGUGAGGAAGGCCUUAGGGAAGUAAAACUCUUUCAGUAGGGAAGAUAAUGACGGUACCUACAGAAGAAGUCCCGGCAAACUCCGUGCCAGCAGCCGCGGUAAUACGGAGGGGGCAAGCGUUGUUCGGAAUUAUUGGGCGUAAAGGGCAUGUAGGCGGUUCGGUAAGUUAAAGGUGAAAUGCCAGGGCUUAAC